UCGAGGGGCAGCGGGAUUGAAGCUUGCUUCAAUCGCCGGCGACCGGCGCACGGGUGCGUAACGCGUAUGCAACCUACCCAGAACAGGGGGAUAACCCGGCGAAAGUCGGAUUAAUACCCAAUGACGUCUCUAGAAGACAUCUGAAGGAGAUUAAAGAUUUAUCGGUGAUGGAUGGGGAUGCGUCUGAUUAGCUUGUUGGCGGGGUAACGGCCCACCAAGGCAACGAUCAGUAGGGGUUCUGAGAGGAAGGUCCCCACAUUGGAACUGAGACACGGUCCAAACUCC
RNAcentral lists this ribosomal RNA (285 nucleotides) under uncultured Prevotella sp. RNAcentral describes it as "partial 16S ribosomal RNA". It matches the Rfam family "Bacterial small subunit ribosomal RNA", at positions 62 to 339 of the family's 1533-position model. Lineage: Bacteria; Pseudomonadati; Bacteroidota; Bacteroidia; Bacteroidales; Prevotellaceae. The record is from RNAcentral.